RNAcentral lists this ribosomal RNA (374 nucleotides) under uncultured eukaryote. Its description in RNAcentral is "SSU rRNA". It matches the Rfam family "Eukaryotic small subunit ribosomal RNA", at positions 587 to 972 of the family's 1831-position model. The record is from RNAcentral.
AGCUCCAAUAGCAUAUAUUAAAGUUGUUGCAGUUAAAAAGCUCGUAGUUGGACCUCUGGGGGACUGCCAAUGUCCGCUUCGGCGUGCGCAGCGGCGGUCCCCCAUCCUUCUGUUAACGCUUCUUGGCCUUAACUGGCUGGUUGCGGGCUCAGAUAUUUUACCUUGAGAAAAUUAGAGUGUUUCAGGCAGGCUUGCGCCCGAAUACAUUAGCAUGGAAUAAUAGAAUAAGACUUCGGUCUCCUUUGUUGGUUUGAGGGAUUGGAGUAAUGAUUAAUAGGGACAGUUGGGGGCAUUAGUAUUUAAUUGUCAGAGGUGAAAUUCUCGGAUUUGUUAAAGACUAACUUAUGCGAAAGCAUUUGCCAAGGAUGUUUUCA